Gastrolobium bilobum is the source of this 1987-nucleotide long non-coding RNA. RefSeq lists it as uncharacterized. The record is from RefSeq and is a predicted model, not a curated record. Lineage: Eukaryota; Viridiplantae; Streptophyta; Magnoliopsida; Fabales; Fabaceae. The transcript is spliced from 8 exons.
CAUCACAAGGGAAACGAAAACCAAGAUUUGCUUUAUCCGGUAUCAAUCGCGAGCUACGAGCAAAUAGAACACCCUUUAGUAGUAUCAAUACCGUCACAUGAAUUGUAAAUGCAUGAAUAUGAUGGACCAAAAAAUCCGCAGUUCCUAAUGGAAUAGCUUGGUACGUCUUAGUCGCUGCGAUCGUGACUUUGUUGAAGUUGCAAUUCAAAACCUUUUGUUUUGAUCACGAUAUGCUUGGAGAAAGAUUUUGCUUUGGAGGCUGGCUCUAUUUUUGCACAUCAACUGUUUGACGAAAUUUCCGUUAGAAUGUCUCAGGAAAUCUCCUGCCAGAGAUAGCUCGAAAUCAACAGAUCUAUGAUGGCACUAACAUUAGCUUCCUAAGAGCACAAAAUGGCAACAAACAAUAACUGAUAUUAGCGCACAAAUAGUAGUGCAUGAGGAUUGGGUUGGGUAUGAGGCUUCACCUCGGCUAAAUAAACUUCUCAGUUUCCCUCUUUCCAAUCGCUCAUGUAGCUUUUUAGCUACUGGAAUGUCCAUCUCUGCGUUCUAUUGACAUGAAUGUAGGCGGCAAUGGAAGAAGCACUUGUUCGUAUUUUAACUCCAAGGUGUAUAACAACACCUUUUCUGAUGAGGAGAAGCGCAACAAGUUCAUCAGGUGGAGAAGAAAGUAAGAAAUCUUGAAUACAGUCCAACUGGUAUCUCUACCAUUGUCCAGGUCAAUGAUCUUAGAAAUUCUCCUGGACUUGGCAAGAGGGAGCUGAGGCAGGCUACCAAUCAGGCCCUUCAAUUGCUUCAGGAUAACUACCCUGAGUUCGUUGCCAAGCAGAUAUUUUGUCAAUGUUCCUUGGUGGUACCUUGCCUUUUCUAGGAUGAUCAGUGCUUUCCUGACACAGAGGAAAAGGACAAAGAGCAAAUUUGUAUUUGCUGGUCCAUCCAAAUCUGCUGAAACCCUUUUCAAGUAAGGGCAUUUCUUCCCCUUUUUUACUGCUCGAUCAUCAUAAAUAUGUCCUGUGUUUUUAUUUCUGCUUUCUUUAUAUAAGGGCGACCCUAAGAGUAUCCGUAAGGUUAUUUGCUGGUCCAUCCAAAUCUGUUGAAACCCUUUUCAAGUCAUGGGUUCGAGUCUGAGAAAUGGUCACUUUGCAAAAGUACAAGGGUAUGGUUGUGUAGAAAAUUCUUACCGUUCAACCGGUGAUUGGUGAUCUGCAAACCUAAGUUGUCUCCAGAGGACUGAGAAUUUGGGGCAGAUGAGGAGGCGGAAGAGUGUUUUGGGGAAGCCAUGAAUAGAUAAAGAAGGGUUGACCGUGGAUGAAAAAUCAAGUUUUUUUAAAUUUUUGAUCUGACCUCUGGAACAGGAAGGGGAGAAGCCGGCGAGAAAGUCUGUGCAAGUCGCGGCGGAAAAAGACGUCGGGAAGGCGGCGCGUGGAGCUCACGCACCGGAGGCUGACGGCGCGUGUGACGGCGCGUGCGGCGGUUGACGGCGAUGGGUCCAGUGGCGGUCGACUCUUCGGAUCCUUCUGAGUCGAAUGGUCACCUCACUUUCUUGAUCAGAGAAAUUAGCUGACCUCUCAACAUCUCCUACACCCAGAUUGAUAGAUGGGAUAUCUUGUUCACUAAAUUUGACAUUAUUGAUGAUAAGGUGGGAGCUGCACUUUCAAUGGUUUACAUAUUUGGAGCUCCAGUCAUGUUUGUUGGCUGCGGACAGUCCUAUACUGACCUCAAGAAACGCAAUGUGGACUCAAUUGUGAAGACUCUCCUUAAAUGAGGAAGCAACCUAUAUUAUUUUUGAUUCACUAAUGACCUGUCAUGAAUGUUUCUGUUUGAUGAUUCUCCUCGUCGAUCCCAUUACUUUGUAAGAAAAACUAAUGUGGCUAUGACUUUAGAGGCAAUUUUUGGUCUAUUUAUAUUGAAAAGCUUCUUUCCUCUAUCCACAUUGAGGUAAACUAAUGUGUGUAUUUGUACAAUCAGUUUCAAUAAAAUAUAUCUAUGA